CCUGUGCUGAAGUCAGACGCUCAACCAACUGAGCUACCCAGAUUUCUGCAUUUUGUGCUUGAUGUGUAUUGUCUCUAAGUGACAUGUUUCAUAAGAAGAAGGGUCUGGAGUUUUGAGGAAUGUCAGUGUGCCUUCAGGGUGGGAGCCGGGCCGGGGGCAGCUUGCCCCCAGGACAGCAGCUGAAGAUCUCCCAGUGAGCCUCUAAAAACAGAGCAAGUUGCAGAAGUUGAAGUGAAAACCACGAGACUCUUUCUCUUCUGAAGGGCCUCCUCAGGGAGGAUGUGCCGAUGUAGGACAAUCCCCUCCUCCAGGCAGACCUCCGUCAUGGAUCCUGGCUCUCCAGGAGCCCCUUACUUACACCUGCAGCCUAUGGUUCUGGGACACAGCACCCCAUCAGCCAGAUGACCUGUCGCGGCCCAAGUCCCCAGCAGCAGCAAGCUGGCAUGCUUGGGUGCAUUACGCCUGAUUUCUGAGCACCGUCCCUGAAGAAAUGACCCUCCGGACUCAGGCUGCCCACUCCUCUCUGGAGAACUUCAUACGUCAGAUCCAAUGUCCGCUGGCCCUGGGCUCAGCCAGGAAGGACAUCAUCUCAGAAUAGAGAACAGUCCUGGCCAAGAGAGCUCCUCGGACCCAUCAUUCUGUCGUCCCAUCAUUCUCAAAGUCCAGGGUACUCAUCAUCUUCCCAUCUCGCCUGGGGUUCGUGAGCAUUUCUCGACACAAGGACCUGGCACCAGGACAGGACGACGUUCCUGGCGUCCUCAGCCUCAUUGGUCAGUCAUCCUAGCACAUGUUGCAAGGAGCCCCGUCACCCCGAGGUGCCCUCACCCCAGCCUGGCACAGCAGCUCAGUCCGUCCCUUCUCUGGUUCUGCAGAAACUCCAUCCUGAAGCCACGGAGUGGGUUGAAGCAAGGUGGAUGUCCAUGCCAGGAGGAAGGCACCACGGAGGAGCACAGUAGAGACAGCACUCCUCAGAGACUGGCUGAGGUGAGCCUGAAGCCACUGAGAGCCGGCAGAGGAGCAGUGGUGACACACAGGCCCGUUGAAGGGCUCCACUGUCAGAAGCUCCCAAAUCUGAGGAUAUCUGGAAACCCCUGAGCAUCAGGAGAGGUGAUGAUGGUAACGGAUGGGGAUCCACUGAGUGAAGUGACAACCAAGAGUCCACACGGAGAGAAAUAACUACAGGAAUCAAUACAUCAGGAGUCAGACGAGAGGCUGGGGCACCUGGGGGGUUCAGUCGGUUGCGUGUCUGACUUCGGCUCAGGUCACGAUCUCACCAUA
Long non-coding RNA from Lynx canadensis (Canada lynx), 1278 nucleotides. RefSeq lists it as uncharacterized. The record is from RefSeq and is a predicted model, not a curated record. The transcript is spliced from 7 exons. NCBI's taxonomy places the organism in Eukaryota, Metazoa, Chordata, Mammalia, Carnivora, Felidae.